This 108-nucleotide small nucleolar RNA is filed under the name Lupinus angustifolius (narrow-leaved blue lupine). RNAcentral describes it as "Plant small nucleolar RNA R71". It matches the Rfam family "Plant small nucleolar RNA R71". Rfam says of the family: R71 is a member of the C/D box family of snoRNAs containing the C (UGAUGA) and D (CUGA) box motifs. Multiple nearly identical copies of this snoRNA have been identified in Arabidopsis, and it is thought to function as a 2'-O-ribose methylation guide for 18S ribosomal RNA. The record is from Rfam by way of RNAcentral. Lineage: Eukaryota; Viridiplantae; Streptophyta; Magnoliopsida; Fabales; Fabaceae.
AAUCCAUGGUUUGGGCACUUCCUGAACAUACAUUUAAAUCUAUCACAUGCUUCGCAUAGGCUUUCCCCAAAAGGCUGGAUAAAGGUGGAGAUUGCAGUUUUUAAAUCU